RNAcentral lists this ribosomal RNA (643 nucleotides) under Pseudomonas fragi. RNAcentral's name for it is "bacterial SSU rRNA". It matches the Rfam family "Bacterial small subunit ribosomal RNA", at positions 31 to 669 of the family's 1533-position model. Lineage: Bacteria; Pseudomonadati; Pseudomonadota; Gammaproteobacteria; Pseudomonadales; Pseudomonadaceae. The record is from RNAcentral.
GGCCGUGCUUGCAGGCUAACACAUGCAAGUCGAGCGGUAGAGAGAAGCUUGCUUCUCUUGAGAGCGGCGGACGGGUGAGUAAUACCUAGGAAUCUGCCUGAUAGUGGGGGAUAACGUUCGGAAACGGACGCUAAUACCGCAUACGUCCUACGGGAGAAAGCAGGGGACCUUCGGGCCUUGCGCUAUCAGAUGAGCCUAGGUCGGAUUAGCUAGUUGGUGAGGUAAUGGCUCACCAAGGCUACGAUCCGUAACUGGUCUGAGAGGAUGAUCAGUCACACUGGAACUGAGACACGGUCCAGACUCCUACGGGAGGCAGCAGUGGGGAAUAUUGGACAAUGGGCGAAAGCCUGAUCCAGCCAUGCCGCGUGUGUGAAGAAGGUCUUCGGAUUGUAAAGCACUUUAAGUUGGGAGGAAGGGCAUUAACCUAAUACGUUAGUGUCUUGACGUUACCGACAGAAUAAGCACCGGCUAACUCUGUGCCAGCAGCCGCGGUAAUACAGAGGGUGCAAGCGUUAAUCGGAAUUACUGGGCGUAAAGCGCGCGUAGGUGGUUUGUUAAGUUGAAUGUGAAAUCCCCGGGCUCAACCUGGGAACUGCAUCCCAAAACUGGCAAAGCUAGAGUAUGGUAGAGGGUAGUGGAAAUU